This 315-nucleotide ribosomal RNA is filed under the name Triticum aestivum (bread wheat). Its description in RNAcentral is "partial small subunit ribosomal RNA". Lineage: Eukaryota; Viridiplantae; Streptophyta; Magnoliopsida; Poales; Poaceae. The record is from RNAcentral.
AUGGGUCUGUACCUACGGCGGCUGCUGCUGGAGGACAACGCCAUCGACGAAACCGAGGGCGGGGCCAAGCGCACGAGUGCAGCAGCUAGGUGGAGUACCCUCUACCGGAGACAACGGAGCAGGUGGCCGACGUCGUGGUUUGUGAGGAUACAAUAUUUGCAGUCGAGUGAACCGGCCAGGCCCGCGAGGGAGAGUGCCCCGUGCACGAUGACGGGCCACUUGUAUCAGCGAGGCAGUGCUGCCUCCGAGGAGGUGGUUGGUGCCUUGGCGGCCGCCGGCGGCGGAGGCCUGGAGGAUGGAGGGACCGAGGCCUGA